Molecule: ribosomal RNA, 274 nt
Filed under: uncultured bacterium
Lineage: Bacteria
Description: partial 16S ribosomal RNA
Rfam family: Bacterial small subunit ribosomal RNA
Source: RNAcentral
AUACGGAGGGUCCAAGCGUUAUCCGGAAUCAUUGGGUUUAAAGGGUUCGUAGGCGGGUCAAUAAGUCAGAGGUGAAAUCUUGCAGCUUAACUGUAAAAUUGCCUUUGAAACUGUUGACCUUGAAUUACUGUGAAGUGGUUAGAAUAUGUAGUGUAGCGGUGAAAUGCUUAGAGAUUACAUAGAAUACCGAUUGCGAAGGCAGAUCACUAACAGUAUGUUGACGCUGAUGAACGAAAGCGUGGGUAGCGAACGGGAUUAGAAACCCCAGUAGUCC